CUGGAGGUAUCAGAAGUGCGAAUGCUGACAUAAGUAACGAUAAAGCGGGUGAAAAGCCCGCUCGCCGGAAGACCAAGGGUUCCUGUCCAACGUUAAUCGGGGCAGGGUGAGUCGACCCCUAAGGCGAGGCCGAAAGGCGUAGUCGAUGGGAAACAGGUUAAUAUUCCUGUACUUGGUGUUACUGCGAAGGGGGGACGGAGAAGGCUAUGUUGGCCGGGCGACGGUUGUCCCGGUUUAAGCGUGUAGGCUGGUUUUCCAGGCAAAUCCGGAAAAUCAAGGCUGAGGCGUGAUGACGAGGCACUACGGUGCUGAAGCAACAAAUGCCCUGCUUCCAGGAAAAGCCUCUAAGCAUCAGGUAACAUCAAAUCGUACCCCAAACCGACACAGGUGGUCAGGUAGAGAAUACCAAGGCGCUUGAGAGAACUCGGGUGAAGGAACUAGGCAAAAUGGUGCCGUAACUUCGGGAGAAGGCACGCUGAUAUGUAGGUGAAGUCCCUCGCGGAUGGAGCUGAAAUCAGUCGAAGAUACCAGCUGGCUGCAACUGUUUAUUAAAAACACAGCACUGUGCAAACACGAAAGUGGACGUAUACGGUGUGACGCCUGCCCGGUGCCGGAAGGUUAAUUGAUGGGGUCAGCGCAAGCGAAGCUCUUGAUCGAAGCCCCGGUAAACGGCGGCCGUAACUAUAACGGUCCUAAGGUAGCGAAAUUCCUUGUCGGGUAAGUUCCGACCUGCACGAAUGGCGUAAUGAUGGCCAGGCUGUCUCCACCCGAGACUCAGUGAAAUUGAACUCGCUGUGAAGAUGCAGUGUACCCGCGGCAAGACGGAAAGACCCCGUGAACCUUUACUAUAGCUUGACACUGAACAUUGAGCCUUGAUGUGUAGGAUAGGUGGGAGGCUUUGAAGUGUGGACGCCAGUCUGCAUGGAGCCGACCUUGAAAUACCACCCUUUAAUGUUUGAUGUUCUAACGUGGACCCGUAAUCCGGGUUGCGGACAGUGUCUGGUGGGUAGUUUGACUGGGGCGGUCUCCUCCUAAAGAGUAACGGAGGAGCACGAAGGUUGGCUAAUCCUGGUCGGACAUCAGGAGGUUAGUGCAAUGGCAUAAGCCAGCUUGACUGCGAGCGUGACGGCGCGAGCAGGUGCGAAAGCAGGUCAUAGUGAUCCGGUGGUUCUGAAUGGAAGGGCCAUCGCUCAACGGAUAAAAGGUACUCCGGGGAUAACAGGCUGAUACCGCCCAAGAGUUCAUAUCGACGGCGGUGUUUGGCACCUCGAUGUCGGCUCAUCACAUCCUGGGGCUGAAGUAGGUCCCAAGGGUAUGGCUGUUCGCCAUUUAAAGUGGUACGCGAGCUGGGUUUAGAACGUCGUGAGACAGUUCGGUCCCUA
Molecule: ribosomal RNA, 1382 nt
Filed under: Escherichia coli
Lineage: Bacteria; Pseudomonadati; Pseudomonadota; Gammaproteobacteria; Enterobacterales; Enterobacteriaceae
Description: partial 23S ribosomal RNA
Rfam family: Bacterial large subunit ribosomal RNA
Source: RNAcentral